AUGCAAAUGGCAAACAAGGAAUCAAAAAGUAAGACUUGAUUGAUACCUCGAGGUUGCUUCAUGAAACUUUCUUUUCAGUCUUCAAAAACGAGUGUGCAUCCUUUCAUGUUUGACCAACAAUUUUUGAUCACAUUGAACUCACCACCAGUUCAAUUAUCUAAUGGUCUUCAGAACUAUUAAAAAGGGUGAAAAGUUACAAAUUGUCAUUUCAAUCCAAGAUAACCUUCUGAAGCUUAAGAAAAAGGUAAUCACAACAUAUUCCACUCAAAUGUUUUUGUAAAAAUAGCCUGGAAUUAUUAUGACUCGUGAUAUUUAGUGUGGUUGUUUGCCUUAUCAUACGGUGUCCGUUCAUUUAGCUAGCUGAUGAAUAAUAGGAAAUUUAUUGUAAAAUGCUUCACGCAUGUAAAAACUAAUGCUUGAUGCAGUUUUUCAUUCUGUUAAUCGUGUGCACAGUCCAUGACCAUAGCUGAAACUAAAAUCCUAAACACUUUCUAGGUAGCUCGUAAUAAUACUAAUCUAUAUCUGGAAACUGGAUCACAUUGAAUAUCACAAAUUUUCAUGUGUAUGUAAAAUAUAGCAGAAUGGAUACCCUGAAGUAAUUAUUAUCAACCAUCAUAUAUAUCAGUUGCCCAGUGCAUACUAUAUAUGUGUUAAGGACAAUUUUUCUGUUGUAAUAAAAAUGCUGGAAGAUCUCAGAAAUAGGUAUGGACCUAUUAGAGAUAUAUUAUGCAAUGCACUUGGCACAAAUCUGGCUUACAAAAUUGCAGAAAUAGCACAAAUAGAUAGAUACUUCCCUGCUGACUCGAUAUAGAGGCGACUGUCACCAAAAAACAAAAUGGUUUUUAAAUAUGAACAGUUGGGUCAGCAACAAUGUUACCUCAAACUUGAAAUCCUCAUUCAACAAAUUUGGCUUGGUAUCCUCGUUCUCUGUACACAUUACCUAAAACAUGGAUGGAUCAAAGAUUGGAGCUAGGCAAGGGAAAGAAAGGUCCACUUUGCAUUGGAUCAAAUAAUGUUGUAUUGGAAGGAGUACUAUUGGAUCACCGCCUUGUGCUGAAGCUCCUUUGACGUCUAAGCCGCCACCCAUGCAUGCUG
RNAcentral lists this long non-coding RNA (1095 nucleotides) under Triticum aestivum (bread wheat). RNAcentral describes it as "long non-coding RNA (TAES_LNC001451)". Lineage: Eukaryota; Viridiplantae; Streptophyta; Magnoliopsida; Poales; Poaceae. The record is from RNAcentral.